Molecule: ribosomal RNA, 425 nt
Filed under: Salmonella enterica subsp. enterica serovar Virchow
Lineage: Bacteria; Pseudomonadati; Pseudomonadota; Gammaproteobacteria; Enterobacterales; Enterobacteriaceae
Also listed under: 4 other names
Description: partial 16S ribosomal RNA
Rfam family: Bacterial small subunit ribosomal RNA
Source: RNAcentral
CGCAACCCUUAUCCUUUGUUGCCAGCGAUUAGGUCGGGAACUCAAAGGAGACUGCCAGUGAUAAACUGGAGGAAGGUGGGGAUGACGUCAAGUCAUCAUGGCCCUUACGACCAGGGCUACACACGUGCUACAAUGGCGCAUACAAAGAGAAGCGACCUCGCGAGAGCAAGCGGACCUCAUAAAGUGCGUCGUAGUCCGGAUUGGAGUCUGCAACUCGACUCCAUGAAGUCGGAAUCGCUAGUAAUCGUGGAUCAGAAUGCCACGGUGAAUACGUUCCCGGGCCUUGUACACACCGCCCGUCACACCAUGGGAGUGGGUUGCAAAAGAAGUAGGUAGCUUAACCUUCGGGAGGGCGCUUACCACUUUGUGAUUCAUGACUGGGGUGAAGUCGUAACAAGGUAACCGUAGGGGAACCUGCGGUUGGA